GCAUAUCAAUAAGCGGAGGAAAAGAAACCAACAGGGAUUGCCUUAGUAACGGCGAGUGAAGCGGCAACAGCUCAAAUUUGAAAGCUGGCCCUUUUAGGGUCCGCGUUGUAAUCUGUAGAGGAUGGUUCGGCGAGGGCUCCCGCCUAAGUCCCCUGGAACGGGGCGUCAUAGAGGGUGAGAAUCCCGUAUGCGGUGGGUUGCUUUAGCCAUGUGAACCUCCUUCGACGAGUCGAGUUGUUUGGGAAUGCAGCUCUAAAUGGGAGGUAAAUUUCUUCUAAAGCUAAAUACCGGCCAGAGACCGAUAGCGCACAAGUAGAGUGAUCGAAAGAUGAAAAGCACUUUGGAAAGAGAGUUAAAAAGUACGUGAAAUUGUUGAAAGGGAAGCGCUUGCAACCAGACUUGUCCGCAGUUGCUCAGCCGGUCUCCUGACCGGCGUACUCUUCUGCGGCCAGGCCAGCAUCAGUUCGGGCGGUCGGAUAAAGGCCUCGGGAAUGUGGCUCCUCUCGGGGAGUGUUAUAGCCCGGGGCGGAAUGCGGCCAGCCUGGACUGAGGAUCUCGCUUCGGCAAGGAUGCUGGCGUAAUGGUUGUAAGCGGCCCGUCUUGAAACACGGACC
This 614-nucleotide ribosomal RNA is filed under the name Neodeightonia phoenicum. RNAcentral describes it as "eukaryotic LSU rRNA". It matches the Rfam family "Eukaryotic large subunit ribosomal RNA", at positions 38 to 667 of the family's 3401-position model. The record is from RNAcentral. Lineage: Eukaryota; Fungi; Ascomycota; Dothideomycetes; Botryosphaeriales; Botryosphaeriaceae.